CCCUUAGAUGUUCUGGGCCGCACGCGCGCUACACUGACGAAUGCAACGAGCUUAUAACCUUGGCCGAAAGGUCUGGGUAAUCUCCAAAUUUCGUCGUGAUGGGGAUAGAUUAUUGCAAUUAUUAAUCUUCAACGAGGAAUGCCUAGUAAGCGCAAGUCAUCAGCUUGCGUUGAUUACGUCCCUGCCCUUUGUACACACCGCCCGUCGCACCUACCGAUCGAAGGUAAUGAUGAGCCCUCAGGAUUGUGGCCUCGUCGCGUCAGCGUCUUGGCUGCGAGAAUCUGUGCAAAUCCCUACCUUUAGAGGAAGGUGAAGUCGUAACA
RNAcentral lists this ribosomal RNA (323 nucleotides) under uncultured eukaryote. Its description in RNAcentral is "partial 18S ribosomal RNA". It matches the Rfam family "Eukaryotic small subunit ribosomal RNA", at positions 1470 to 1796 of the family's 1831-position model. The record is from RNAcentral.